GACGAACGCUGGCGGCGUGCUUAACACAUGCAAGUCGAACGGAAAGGCUCCAGCUUGCUGGAGUACUCGAGUGGCGAACGGGUGAGUAACACGUGGGUAAUCUGCCCUGCACUCUGGGAUAAGCCUGGGAAACUGGGUCUAAUACUGGAUAUGACCUUUCUCCGUAUGGGGGGUGGUGGAAAGUUUUUCGGUGUAGGAUGAGCCCGCGGCUUAUCAGCUUGUUGGUGGGGUGAUGGCCUACCAAGGCGACGACGGGUAGCCGGCCUGAGAGGGUGAUCGGCCACAUUGGGACUGAGAUACGGCCCAGACUCCUACGGGAGGCAGCAGUGGGGAAUAUUGCACAAUGGGCGGAAGCCUGAUGCAGCGACGCCGCGUGAGGGAUGACGGCCUUCGGGUUGUAAACCUCUUUCAGCAGGGACGAAGCGUAAGUGACGGUAACUGCAGAAGAAGCACCGGCUAACUACGUG
RNAcentral lists this ribosomal RNA (467 nucleotides) under uncultured bacterium. RNAcentral's name for it is "partial 16S ribosomal RNA". It matches the Rfam family "Bacterial small subunit ribosomal RNA", at positions 28 to 507 of the family's 1533-position model. The record is from RNAcentral.